ACAUCUUUAUAUCUAUAAAUAUAUGUAGUGCUCCUUUUAAAGUAGUAUAAAGGGUUUUUAAGAAUUAUUAUUUGGGGGCGCCUGGGUGGCGCAGUCGGUUAAGCGUCCGACUUCAGCCAGGUCACGAUCUCGCGGUCCGGGAGUUCGAGCCCCGCGUCGGGCUCUGGGCUGAUGGCUCAGAGCCUGGAGCCUGUUUCCGAUUCUGUGUCUCCCUCUCUCUCUGCCCCUCCCCCGUUCAUGCUCUGUCUCUCUCUGUUCCAAAAAUAAAUAAACGUUGAAAAAAAAAAUUAAAAAAAAAAAAAGAAUUAUUAUUUGUUCAAUGGAAACAGCUUAGAAUAGGAUGGGGCAGGGAACAUUCCAAGGGUUAAAAGAAGGGAGCCAAUCGCAAAGAGGGAUGGGAAAAGGUAUGGCUGCGGAGAGUGAGGGCAGAGGCAUCUCUGGCCCUGGAUGAGACACUAUGGGUCAAAGCCCUGCAUCUAGAGUAACACUUUGUCCCCUGAUCCUGUCCUCACUCCAUUAUUGCAUCACCUCUGUCUCUGGUUGAUGCUGUGAUGAGGUUAGAACCCUUGAUAGCUUUUUUUUCUUUUUGUAUCUGAACGGUGGUUUUACUGACCAAUAUGUUCCUGGAUAAGGACUCCAAGCCCAGAGUACACAGUUAAAGCAACUACUUUGUUUCCAAAAAGAAAGUACACAAGGAAUCCCGAGUGUCCCCCACUAAUGUGAGAGCUUGACCCCCGACCGGUCUCCACCCAGUUCUGGUCUCCACCCAGCUAGAGAAAAACGUCCUCUAGCUGGCCAGUCUGUCAUCCACUGUGACACCUGCUUACAAGGCAGGCGUGGCAUCGACCGACAUCUGCUCACCGUCCAAGCACCAGGUAUGGGCUGAGCAGCUCCGCAAGCACGUUUGCCAGAUGCUCUCGUUUGCGUUAAAAUCGAACGUGCGCGCUGACACAUGGCUGCUGGCCGCGGAUCUCGAAUUAGAUGCGGGUCCACUUGUCCUCUCUGUCUGUCACAUCAAAGUAGCCGGUGCCAAGAUGUAGCGGAUCUCGUCGUCCGGGUGCAGCGUCAAGCUUCCAGUAAAGAACCCCGAGCAGGCGCAGGUGCUCCAGGCGAACCAGGCCGCAGGGCUCGCUGCGGUGGGGCAGCCUCGGGUCGUCGACCGACUUGUCCACGUACGAGGCCUGCCCCAUGGCCGGGCGGAGGACGCAGCGAAGGAGGAGCCAAAUCCUUGAUAGCUUAA
RNAcentral lists this long non-coding RNA (1240 nucleotides) under Felis catus (domestic cat). Its description in RNAcentral is "lncRNA (ENSFCAG00000040758.2)". Lineage: Eukaryota; Metazoa; Chordata; Mammalia; Carnivora; Felidae. The record is from RNAcentral.